Molecule: ribosomal RNA, 465 nt
Filed under: uncultured bacterium
Lineage: Bacteria
Description: partial 16S ribosomal RNA
Rfam family: Bacterial small subunit ribosomal RNA
Source: RNAcentral
CCUACGGGUGGCAGCAGUAGGGAAUCUUCCACAAUGGGCGAAAGCCUGAUGGAGCAACGCCGCGUGGGUGAAGAAGGUCUUCGGAUCGUAAAACCCUGUUGUUAGAGAAGAAAGUGCGUGAGAGUAACUGUUCACGUUUCGACGGUAUCUAACCAGAAAGCCACGGCUAACUACGUGCCAGCAGCCGCGGUAAUACGUAGGUGGCAAGAGUUGUCCGGAUUUAAUGGGCGUAAAGGGGACGCGGGCUGUGUUUUAAGCCUGAUGGGAAAGCCUUCGGCUUAACCGGAGUAGUGCAUGGGAAACUGGGAGACUUGAGUGCAGAAGAGGAGAGUGGAACUCCAUGUGUAGCGGUGAAAUGCGUAGAUAUAUGGAAGAACACCAGUGGCGAAAGCAGCUCUCUGGUCUGUAACUGACGCUGAGGUACGAAAGCGUGGGUAGCAAACAGGAUUAGAUACCCGAGUAGUC